Molecule: long non-coding RNA, 480 nt
Organism: Photinus pyralis (common eastern firefly)
Lineage: Eukaryota; Metazoa; Arthropoda; Insecta; Coleoptera; Lampyridae
Exons: 3
Source: RefSeq, a predicted model, not a curated record
UGAAAUUUUAAUUAACCCCCGACGAGAAAAUUUUAUUUAGUUGUACUGCUAACAGAAUAUGGCGUAGCGGUCGUUUCCACCUGCAGGCGUUAGAAGCACGAAAUCCGAAGUGUAACACGUUUACACUAUUAAAGUUUAACACUGCCGACUUUCCCAAUUCAUAAAACACUCCCAAAGAGCCGUCAGAAAUGACAAUAGAAACAGGUAUUUUCACUAGUCACCUGUCGCAUACUGGAUGAGGAAUCCCUACUCAACGGCUUAGAAGAGAUGUGUACAUUAUUGAUGGAAAAAGAGACUUUAUCUAAAACAUACACAAACCACUCUACGCGUCUCGGAAAAUCCAUACCGGAAAUUUUGCUUCGCAUUUGCAUUAAUCCUUGCGUCGGAGGAACAACUAAAAAUUUGCUGCGCAGAAGUUAGUAGCGUCUAAGUAACUACUCGUCAAACUUGUUUUCGAGUACACAAUUCUAAACCAUUUUU